AUUGAACGCUGGCGGCAUGCCUUACACAUGCAAGUCGAACGGCAGCACGGGUGCUUGCACCUGGUGGCGAGUGGCGAACGGGUGAGUAAUACAUCGGAACAUGUCCUGUAGUGGGGGAUAGCCCGGCGAAAGCCGGAUUAAUACCGCAUACGAUCCACGGAUGAAAGCGGGGGCCCUUCGGGCCUCGCGCUAUAGGGUUGGCCGAUGGCUGAUUAGCUAGUUGGUGGGGUAAAGGCCUACCAAGGCGACGAUCAGUAGCUGGUCUGAGAGGACGACCAGCCACACUGGGACUGAGACACGGCCCAGACUCCUAAGGGAGGCAGCAGUGGGGAAUUUUGGACAAUGGGCGAAAGCCUGAUCCAGCAAUGCCGCGUGUGUGAAGAAGGCCUUCGGGUUGUAAAGCACUUUUGUCCGGAAAGAAAUCCUUGGCUCUAAUACAGUCGGGGGAUGACGGUACCGGAAGAAUAAGCACCGGCUAACUACGUG
Molecule: ribosomal RNA, 486 nt
Filed under: uncultured bacterium
Lineage: Bacteria
Description: partial 16S ribosomal RNA
Rfam family: Bacterial small subunit ribosomal RNA
Source: RNAcentral